GAAGCCUGGAGCAUCUAAUCCAUGUGCUGGAAUCCUUUGAGUUCCUCUGCAUAUGUUAGUUAAUGAAUGAUUCCAGGGUAGUACUUAAGGCUGAAACCUGGGUUCCUGUCUAAGGAUAUUUCCUUCAUAUUUGUGAACCACGUGAUUGAAGCUGGAGUCUUCUAUGAAGGUCAUUGGAGAAUGGUCCAUCAUUCAAUACACAACAGAAAUCAUGCUCCAACUCAGCACCCUUGUUUCUGAAGUAGACCAAAUCAACACACACAGUGUCCCUGAUGCACCAACCUCUGUCAAAAAUCCUCCCAAAUCCUGUCUGCCAAAAGUGCCUUUUUUCCCCCAAGAGUCUUCUAAUUGCACAUGAUCUCACUAGGAUCACAGAAGGGGAUGAGUGUAAACAGUGUAUUGUUAUACUGUUUGUGCUGUUUUCCAGUGUUUAUCAAUAAUAUCCUCAAAGCAAUGCUGGGGAAAUUUGUCCUAGAGUUUAUUUUUUAAUCUAUUCACCAUUCAUGGAGACCCAUGACAUCCUGAAUCUCUCACUUUCCUCAUCUUCAGAGAAUCUGGUUAGAACUGUGAAGUCCCAGUUAGUUGGAAAAAGUCCCUUUAACUUGGAAAAAUAUAUAAUCUACACCUCACUGAGUAUGUCUUCAUGAAAAUGUCCCCAGCUGAAUGAAAUUAGGAUGUCAGGAAUGGAGAGCUUGUGACAGUUAAACUCGCACUUGGGGGAAUAGUGCCACUUCGAGGGGGCAGUGCUUUGAUAUUUAUAUAGAGCUGAAAAGCUAUUUGAGGAAAGCUAAGAAGUUUCAAUUAAGACUGUGACGUCUUAGCUGGGAGUUCUUCAUCUCACAAUUCUAGUUCAACUUUUCCUACCAUCCUAGUUUAAAGAAUACUAAUGCUGACUCAAUGUCAUGUCUAGGUCUUGACAUUUCCUGUUCCAAUUACUGCUAAAUUUGAUCAUAUUUAUGUAAUAACAUUACACAUGCAUUUGGUUUCUGUUUCAUUAUGCAGAAAGAUUAAAAUGUCAUUUUUAUUUUUCUUAUUUCCAUGCAGGCCCAGAAACAAUGACAGACAAUUUCAGAGGGACAAAUGAAGUUUAUGCAAAUGACCCGAAUGCUUUUCCUCUCAGAAAUCUACCACCGUCUCUCUACCAGAUUCUGGACAGCAACACCAUCCAACCAGAUCCUAUCUACCAAAGUCUCAUGCAUUAAACCUAACAACAAAUUUUGUCUGCCAAAGUGGGAAAUAAAGCUGAUAACUUUUCUAUUAAACUGGACUGGUCUGGAUCCCAAAGAGAUCAGAUUUACUUCACACAAUUUACUUCCAUGCUAAUCAAGAAUGUUUCAGUCCCUCAAAAUGUAUUUAAUGAACACUAAACAUUUAUUGUUGUAGUAUUCUUGUUUUGGUAUUUUUUUCAUCAUUAAUGAUAAUUUAGAUAAUUUAUUUUCUACUUUAAUCAUUUAAUCAUUUCAAUAAAAUUAUUUUGCAUA
Molecule: long non-coding RNA, 1481 nt
Organism: Tachysurus fulvidraco (yellow catfish)
Lineage: Eukaryota; Metazoa; Chordata; Actinopteri; Siluriformes; Bagridae
Exons: 2
Source: RefSeq, a predicted model, not a curated record